Molecule: non-coding RNA, 728 nt
Filed under: Pongo abelii (Sumatran orangutan)
Lineage: Eukaryota; Metazoa; Chordata; Mammalia; Primates; Hominidae
Source: RNAcentral
CGGAAGGGACUAGACCUUCUGCAAUGAGUUUCUGUCAGACCUUGGACCUUAACUUGCUUGACACAGACUUUGCUGGAAGCUUCCAGAGCAGGGCUGGGCACCUACAGAUGACUGGAGAACACCAAAGGCAGGCCAGGUGGGAAUGGAUGGCGGGAAAAGCCCUGUGAAUCUCAAGGCACCACACAGGGCACAGAGGGAGACCCCAGGUAACAUGCACAUGGUCAAAAAAUGGAACAAUAUGAACAAGAUAGUAAGCAAAGUCUUACUGCAGUGCCCUUCCAGUUUGCCCCAGUACCAGCCCUACCUCCUCCAGAUUUCACAUUUCAAGAAAAUCCUUGCACUUACCGGUCGGUAGUAAAAAUGUACCCCACGUGAUCCUUACAGCUUAACAGCAGGACACUGAAGGCUACAGCAAAGAGCACUGAAGGUAAAAACGGCAGAAGAAACAACACAGUGAACAAGAAGAUCCACAGGAAGUGGGGGAGCCUGGGUUUUGCAUGCAGAGGCUGCACCAAGAGCCUCGGGUAAAGGGGUCUCAGCACCUGUAAUCAGCAGGGAAACGGUAGAGGACUUCCGUGCCUGCUCCAUGUCUCCAGCACCCAGAGCGUUUCCUACCCGGACACUGGCAGCCACACUGAAGCCUGCAGGGACCUAAAAUAAAAAGGAAACCUGCAACAACGAGUGAGAAACUGCAGAGUGAGAACACGUGCAGAGAAGCAGCCUCAUGC